AUAUGUAUGUGUGUAUGUAUAUGUAUAUAUAUGCAUAUAUAUAUAUCAUCAGCUACUUCCAGAAUAUUCUUGUCAUGCCAAAAAGAAA
This 88-nucleotide microRNA precursor is filed under the name Sorex araneus (European shrew). RNAcentral describes it as "miRNA (ENSSARG00000017487.1)". The record is from RNAcentral. Lineage: Eukaryota; Metazoa; Chordata; Mammalia; Eulipotyphla; Soricidae.